UGCUGCAGCUAACGCAUUAAGCACUCCGCCUGGGGAGUACGACCGCAAGGUUGAAACUCAAAGGAAUUGACGGGGGCCCGCACAAGCGGUGGAGCAUGUGGUUUAAUUCGAAGCAACGCGAAGAACCUUACCAGGUCUUGACAUCCUUUGACCACUCUAGAGAUAGAGCUUCCCCUUCGGGGGCAAAGUGACAGGUGGUGCAUGGUUGUCGUCAGCUCGUGUCGUGAGAUGUUGGGUUAAGUCCCGCAACGAGCGCAACCCUUAUUGUUAGUUGCCAUCAUUCAGUUGGGCACUCUAGCAAGACUGCCGGUGACAAACCGGAGGAAGGUGGGGAUGACGUCAAAUCAUCAUGCCCCUUAUGACCUGGGCUACACACGUGCUACUAUGGGAAGUACAACGAGUUGCGAAGUCGCGAGGCUAAGCUAAUCUCUUAAAGCUUCNCUCAGUUCGGAUUGCAGGCUGCAACNCGCCUGCAUGAAGCCG
This 483-nucleotide ribosomal RNA is filed under the name Enterococcus faecium. Its description in RNAcentral is "bacterial SSU rRNA". It matches the Rfam family "Bacterial small subunit ribosomal RNA", at positions 844 to 1328 of the family's 1533-position model. The record is from RNAcentral. Lineage: Bacteria; Bacillati; Bacillota; Bacilli; Lactobacillales; Enterococcaceae.